GUCCCCAUCGUCUAGUGGCCUAGGACACCGGGUUUUCAUCUCGGCAACAGGGGUUCGACUCCCCUUGGGGACGCCA
RNAcentral lists this transfer RNA (76 nucleotides) under hydrothermal vent metagenome. Its description in RNAcentral is "tRNA-Glu-TTC". It matches the Rfam family "tRNA". From Rfam's summary of the family: Transfer RNA (tRNA) molecules are approximately 80 nucleotides in length. Their secondary structure includes four short double-helical elements and three loops (D, anti-codon, and T loops). Further hydrogen bonds mediate the characteristic L-shaped molecular structure. tRNAs have two regions of fundamental functional importance: the anti-codon, which is responsible for specific mRNA codon recognition, and the 3' end, to which the tRNAs corresponding amino acid is attached (by aminoacyl-tRNA synthetases). tRNAs cope with the degeneracy of the genetic code in two manners: having more than one tRNA (with a specific anti-codon) for a particular amino acid; and 'wobble' base-pairing, i.e. permitting non-standard base-pairing at the 3rd anti-codon position. The record is from RNAcentral.